AAAUACAGUCACAUCACCCUGAACACACCUGAUCUCAUCUGAUCUCGGAAGCUAAGCAGGAUUGGGCCUGGUGAGUACUUGGAUGGGAGAGAAAAUAAGAGAAAUGUUCUUA
This 112-nucleotide ribosomal RNA is filed under the name Nomascus leucogenys (northern white-cheeked gibbon). The record is from RNAcentral. Lineage: Eukaryota; Metazoa; Chordata; Mammalia; Primates; Hylobatidae.